GGGAUUUUGCGCAAUGGGCGAAAGCCUGACGGAGCAAGACCGCGUGAGGGAGGAAGGCUCUAGGGUUGUAAACCCCUUUUCUUUGGGAAGAAGAACUGACGGUACCAAAGGAAUCAGCCUCGGCUAACUCCGUGCCAGCAGCCGCGGUAAUACGGAGGAGGCAAGCGUUAUCCGGAAUGAUUGGGCGUAAAGCGUCCGCAGGUGGCCAUGUAAGUCUGCCCCCAAAACCCAGGCCUCCACUCUGGUCAGGCAGUGGAAACUACAAAGCUAGAGUCUGGUAGGGGCAAAGGGAAUUCCCGGAGUAGCGGUGAAAUGCGUAGACCUCGGGAAGAAC
RNAcentral lists this ribosomal RNA (334 nucleotides) under uncultured Lyngbya sp. Its description in RNAcentral is "bacterial SSU rRNA". It matches the Rfam family "Bacterial small subunit ribosomal RNA", at positions 358 to 707 of the family's 1533-position model. The record is from RNAcentral. Lineage: Bacteria; Bacillati; Cyanobacteriota; Cyanophyceae; Oscillatoriales; Microcoleaceae.